CAGCAGCCGCGGGAAUACGAAGGGGGCUAGCGUUGUUCGGAAUUACUGGGCGUAAAGCGCACGUAGGCGGAUAUUUAAGUCAGGGGUGAAAUCCCAGAGCUCAACUCUGGAACUGCCUUUGAUACUGGGUAUCUUGAGUAUGGGAGAGGUGAGUGGAAUUCCGAGUGUAGAGGUGAAAUUCGUAGAUAUUCGGAGGAACACCAGUGGCGAAGGCGGCUCACUGGUCCAUUACUGACGCUGAGGUGCGAAAGCGUGGGGAGCAAACAGGAUUAGAUACCCCUGUAGUCCCUGUCUCUUAUCC
Molecule: ribosomal RNA, 301 nt
Filed under: uncultured bacterium
Lineage: Bacteria
Description: partial 16S ribosomal RNA
Rfam family: Bacterial small subunit ribosomal RNA
Source: RNAcentral